Molecule: unclassified non-coding RNA, 331 nt
Filed under: soil metagenome
Description: partial contains 5.8S ribosomal RNA, internal transcribed spacer 2, and large subunit ribosomal RNA
Rfam family: 5.8S ribosomal RNA (bases 1-120)
Source: RNAcentral
GAUGAAGAACGUAGCGAAAUGCGAUAAGUAGUGUGAAUUGCAGAAUUCAGUGAAUCAUCGAAUCUUUGAACGCACAUUGCGCCCUUCGGUAUUCCGUUGGGCAUGCCUGUUCGAGCGUCAUUUAAACCUUCAAGCUAUGCUUGGUGUUGGGUGUUUGUUCCGCCUCUGCGCGUGGACUCGCCUCAAAUUCAUUGGCAGCCGGUAUGUUGGCUUCGUGCGCAGCACAUUGCAAGCGACUUCAACAGACCUCAUUCCAUAAGCCUUUUUUUUACUUUGACCUCGGAUCAGGUAGGGAUACCCGCUGAACUUAAGCAUAUCAAUAAGCGGAGGA